UGUUUGCGAGUGCGGGAGUUUCAAGACGCGCGCGAAGCUGCGGACAGUCUGAUUGGAAGUGGAGCGAACUGGAAGGCAAACAAGACGACGCGUGUCGAGUGUUUGCAAUAGAAACAAAUUGUUUUCAAAUACGAACAGUGCUCUGCUGUGCUAUUUGUUUUGUGAAAUACAAUUGAUCGCGGUCACCACAUCAGCGUCACCUCUUUUGCAUGCCCGACAUCUCCGCGGAUGCGAAUUUCGGCUGGCGCGAUUUGAGCAACAGGUGGCGGACGACUGAUGGGCGGAUGAACGGGUGGAUAAACGGAUAAAUGGAUAAAUGGACAAAUGGAUCGUGUCGAUGGGCGGCGGGAUUUGGCGAAAUUUGGUGCUGAUAGACUGGCAUAGGCCCGGCAUUAUUAUUGGUGGCCAAAAGGGGUCAGGCGGUGUGCGCGUAAAGAAAUUGAAUUGACUUUGGUGGCCAGCAGCAACAGCACCAGCACCGGCGGCGGUCCGAAAUCGAAAUCUGUGUCGCAAAUGUGGCACUAAUAAAUUAUCGCACAUUCGCGCGCCGCACCGCGAGUGCUUCAUUAAUGCGGGAAUCGCGAAUGACGGAGAAUAUCUAGUUUUGCAGCGGCACUGCGUUUGUUUCAUUUUGCCAGGAACGUGACCAAAAUUACCAAGUGCCGCGUGGAUUCACUCGAUCUACCGAGCCAUAGGUCUGCAUAGACCAAACAAUUAGAUUUGGUAGCCACGCUUCGCGGAGCUGGGCGCAAACAAAAAAGAACGCCAACUCCGUGGCCUAUAAAUAUCGGUCUUCGGAAUUACUAAAUCCAAUUGCAGUCCAAUUAGCAGGCGAGCGCCAAUGAAGCGGCUGUGAAAUAGAAAUAAACAGGAAACGACUGACGGCAAAGGGAACUGGCCAAGACGAGGACGCAAUUAACCAGAACGGAACAAAACAAGGAAGAAGGGGAUUCGAAGAAGGAGGGAGCAAUGCAAACUCAACAAAAAUGUUGCAUCUCCUCGAAGGAUCAACAUCUGUCGCCAAGGACACUGUCACACAAAGGAGACCCCUCGUCAGUUGCAUGAAAUAAUUUCGUUUAAAUUAAGCGCCCUCCUCACAAAAAAGGAGCAGCAUUUCACGCCAUUCCCGUCCCCGCGUAAUGUGUGCUCACCCCUGUCCUGCUCCAGCUGGAAUCUACCACUCAGGACUGCUGCAUCCACUGCUCCUGCUACUCCUCUUCCUGCUCGCUUUUAGCAACUUCCGGCCGACUCAUGGAGAGGUCUUCACGCUGGGUUACCUCACGGCCUCGCAACGGCGACCGGGAAACCUGGACUACAACCGACCCGGUCUCACCAUCUCCGGCGCCAUCUCGCUGGCGGUGGAGGAGGUGAAUGCCGGACGUCUCCGGGAUCGGGGUCAUUCCCUUCAGUUCGUCGUGGCCGAAACUUACGGCGAGGAGGUGGUCAGCAUCCGUCAAACGGCGGCACUGUGGACGCAGCAUGUGGCCGCCUACAUCGGCCCCCAGGAAACAUGCGUACACGAAGGUCGCAUGGCGGCCGCCUUUAACCUGCCCAUGAUAUCUUAUUACUGCACCCAUCGGGAUCCCUCGAACAAGGCUGAUUUUCCCACCUUUGCCAGGACACGCCCACCGGACACCCAGAUCUCCAAGUCCGUAGUGGCCCUUCUGCUGGCCUUUAAUUGGACGCAGGUGAGCUUCCUCUACUUGGACGACGCCAGUGGUCAGUAUCAGCCCGUGGCGGAGACCAUCCUGAGCACACUGACUGAUGCCGGAGUCACUAUCCGGGAUAUUCGCACUUGGAAUACCAUCUACCAUCACGGGUUUAUGGACAAUCCUUUCGAGGCGCUGGUGGAGCAGACCUAUGCCAAUACAAGGAUCUACCUCAUUUUGGGUCACUACUAUGAGCAUGUCGGGCUGAUGGUUAGUCUCCAGAGAAGAGGAAUUCUGUCGAAGGGCGACUACUUCGUAGUGGGCAUAGACAUCGAACAGUAUGAUCCAGCCAAGCCUGAAAAGUAUUUGCGAGGACUCCUGCUGGAGGAUGUGGAGCCAUUGGCCGUGCAGGCCUUUCAGUCCUAUCUGGGCAUUGUGCCCACGGCUUCCGUCUCCUUCGCCACUUUUGCCAAUGAGGUCAACAAAUACAUGGAGCGACCGCCAUUCAAUUUCCCCAAUCCGCUGGGUCCCUUCGGCGGCGUAAAGCAGAUAAGCGCCGAGGCUGCCUAUCUCUACGAUGCCGUGCAUCUCUACGCGAAGGCCUUGAUGGAAGUCCUGGACUCGGGCGGAAGACCCAGGAACGGCAGCGCCAUUGUGGCGGCCAUCAAGGGUUCGCGAUAUCGCAGCGCCAUGGGCUAUCACGUCUAUAUCGAUGAGAACGGCGAUGCAGCUGGAAAUUAUACAGUAUUAGCGAGGGGAUCCGUGCGGAAUGGUCGCAAUCAGACUGUGCUGGGUCUGCGACCCGUGGGCACCUUUAUCCACCGGAACAGCAGCUUCAGCAGCAUCAGCAAGGCGUUGCCCGAUCUCAAACUGUUCAGCCCCAUCGACUGGGUGGGUGGCACGCGACCAGCAGCUGCUCCACGUUGCGGAUUUGGUGGCGAGAAGUGCGUCAAUUAUACUGGCGAAAUUUCAGCGGCCAUUGCGGGCGGUGCCCUUUUGCUGCUCAGCUUGGUCUCGCUGGUCCUCUAUCGUAACUGGCGAUACGAGCAGGAACUGGACAGUCUGCUCUGGAAGAUAGACUUCCGCGAGGUGCAGAUCCAUGAGAACGAACGCGAACAGCAAAGUCAGAAGCAGACGCGCCACUUGCUAAAUCACUUGCCGCGUCGUCUUCCUCCGCAGUCCACCCAUCCGCUGAUCCGCACCAGCCAAGUGAGCCUGAGCUCCAAUCCGGACGCCGACUUCCGCUACACGACAAUCUUUACGCCCAUCGGACUGUACAAAGGUCAGCUUUAUGCUAUCAAGAAGGUGCGAAAGAAGAGCGUGGACAUCACCCGCGAAAUGAAGAAGGAGCUCAAGCUGCUGCGGGAUGCCCGUCACGAUAAUAUUUGCGCCUUCAUAGGCGCCUGCACGGAUCCGCCAAACAUCUGCAUCAUCAGCGAGUACUGCACCCGAGGCAGCCUUAAGGACAUUCUGGAGAACGAGGACGUCAAGCUGGACAACAUGUUCAUUGCCUCCAUGGUGGCAGACAUUAUACGCGGCGUCAUCUAUUUGCACGACUCGCCCAUUCGUUUCCAUGGCGCUCUGUGCACUUCCAACUGCCUGGUGGACUCCCGAUGGGUGGUCAAGCUAACGGACUUUGGCCUCUUUGCCUUCAAACAGGGGAUCGAAGACAGCACCACGGAUAUGCAGCAUAUGUCGGCCAAGUGUCUGAAGCUUCUUUAUCGAGCUCCUGAGCUGCUGCGACAGGGUCCAUCCUCGCUGGUCAUGGGCACACAACGCGGGGAUGCCUAUUCCUUUGGCAUCCUCCUGUACGAGAUGCACGUCCGUAGAGGACCCUUUGGCGAGACGGGUCUGACGCCCAUGCAGUGCCUGCAGAAGGUGCUUCAGCCCCAGGAUUACCUAAAUCCAUACAGACCCUCCUUGCAACCACUGGAAACCGCGUUCGACUGCGUCAGCGAGUGCCUGAGGGAAUGCUGGGCGGAGAGGCCGGAGGAUCGACCAGAUUUCAAAACCAUCCGCACCAAACUAAGACCUCUGCGGAAGGGAAUGAGGCCCAACAUUUUCGACAACAUGAUGGCCAUGAUGGAGAAGUACGCCAACAAUUUGGAGGCUCUAGUAGACGAUCGCACGGAUCAACUGCAGGAGGAAAAAAAGAAGACCGACGCACUGCUGCACGAGAUGCUGCCGCGCUGCGUGGCUGACCAGCUGAAGAAGGGUCACAAGGUGGACCCCGAACACUACGAGCAGGUCAGCAUCUACUUCAGCGACAUCGUGGGCUUCACAGCGAUGUCCGCCGAGUGCACCCCUUUGCAGGUGGUAGAUUUCCUCAACGAUCUGUACACCUGCUUCGACUCAAUUAUUGGGCACUAUGAUGUUUAUAAAGUUGAAACUAUCGGAGAUGCUUACAUGGUGGUCUCUGGACUACCGCUGCGCAAUGGUGACUUGCAUGCAGCGGAAAUAGCCACCAUGUCGUUGCACCUACUCAGUGCCGUAUCAGAGUUUAAGAUCCGUCACCGGCCCACAAACCGCCUGCUCCUGCGGAUUGGCAUACACUCGGGUCCCGUUUGUGCGGGUGUUGUUGGUCUGAAGAUGCCACGUUACUGUCUCUUCGGAGAUACUGUCAAUACCGCUUCCCGCAUGGAGUCCAGUGGUGUUCCGCUGAAGAUCCAUUGCAGCUGGCAGUGCCGCCAAUUGCUAGAGAGGCUGGGUGGCUAUCACUUCGCGGAGCGUGGCGUCAUCUCCAUGAAGGGAAAAGGUGAUCAGCGCACCUACUGGCUGCUGGGAGAAGAUGAGGAGGCACGCACUCGUCGAACCUAUGAGAGAUCUCAGAGACGCGGAUCCAGGGCACUCAACAAGUUCAUCCAGGGCACCAUAAAGCAGGCCCAGGAACAGGCCAACGAGUACGGCAUACGCUCCUCCCUUAAACAGAAGAAUCUGCCCAGAAACUCGCUGACCCGCUCUUCCAGUCUGGAGUCGCCCAAGAAGCUGCGGUUCGCUGCUGGUAGCCUCCUGGAGCAUCAUCGCUAUCACAGUGACGAGGCGCUGCUGGAGGUGGACUCCUACACGGGCUUGCGCCGUUCCUCGGGAGGAUCCACACAGUCGCGCUAUGAGGAGACGACCCUGUCGCUGACUCUGUCCUGCCAAAGUAUAGAGAUCGUAGGUGGGCAACAUGGUAAAAGGAGACCCUCUUCAUAUCCCACUGCCAACACGCCGCUGCUGAUGAACCACGUGGAGGUUUAGGGCAGUGUCCUAGUACUUAUUUAACCCAGAUACAGGGAACUUAGUGGAAUUUGUGUUCAGCUGCACUCGAAGGCGAG
Molecule: unclassified non-coding RNA, 4966 nt
Filed under: Drosophila yakuba
Lineage: Eukaryota; Metazoa; Arthropoda; Insecta; Diptera; Drosophilidae
Description: GE21974
Source: RNAcentral